GAUCAUGGGCUCAGGACGAACGCUGGCGGCGCGCCUAACACAUGCAAGUCGAACGGAGAUUACAGGCGGAAGUUUUCGGAUGGAAGCUUGUAAACUUAGUGGCGGACGGGUGAGUAACACGUGAGCAACCUGCCUAUCAGAGGGGGAUAACGAUUGGAAACGAUCGCUAAUACCGCAUGACAUAGCGGAACCGCAUGGUUCUGUUAUCAAAGAUUUAUCGCUGAUAGAUGGG
RNAcentral lists this ribosomal RNA (232 nucleotides) under uncultured bacterium. RNAcentral describes it as "partial 16S ribosomal RNA". It matches the Rfam family "Bacterial small subunit ribosomal RNA", at positions 15 to 229 of the family's 1533-position model. The record is from RNAcentral.